CAGACGCGAAACCUUGUGAUCUACCCUUGGCCAGGUUGAAGUUCCGGUAAAACGGAAUGGAGGACCGAACUGGUAAACGUUGAAAAGUUUUCGGAUGAGCUGAGGGUAGGGGUGAAAGGCUAAUCAAACUGGGAGUAUAGCUCGUACUCCCCGAAAUGUAUUUUAGGUACAGCCUUGAGGUAAAGUUAUAUGGAGGUAGAGCUACUGGUAGGGCUAGGGGGAGUCAAAUCCUACCAACCCCUAAUAAACUCCGAAUGCCAUAUAAUAUACUCAGGAGUGAGGGCUGGGGUGCUAAGGUCACAGUCCGAGAGGGAAAGAACCCAGACCCACCGCUAAGGUCCCCAAGUGUGAGCUAAGUUGAGCUAACGUGGUUUCAUUGCUAAGACAGCUAGGAUGUUUUGCUUGGAAGCAGCAAUUCAUUUAAAGAGUGCGU
RNAcentral lists this ribosomal RNA (433 nucleotides) under uncultured bacterium. RNAcentral describes it as "bacterial LSU rRNA". It matches the Rfam family "Bacterial large subunit ribosomal RNA", at positions 710 to 1135 of the family's 2925-position model. The record is from RNAcentral.